GUGGUGAGUGUGUAAGAGCGCAUGGUGGAUGCCUUGGCAUCAGGAGCCGAUGAAGGACGUGGAAAUCUGCGAUAAGCCUCGGGGAGUCGAUAAACGGGCGUUGAUCCGAGGAUGUCCGA
RNAcentral lists this ribosomal RNA (119 nucleotides) under Brevibacterium sp. S111. RNAcentral describes it as "partial 23S ribosomal RNA". It matches the Rfam family "Bacterial large subunit ribosomal RNA", at positions 1 to 117 of the family's 2925-position model. Lineage: Bacteria; Bacillati; Actinomycetota; Actinomycetes; Micrococcales; Brevibacteriaceae. The record is from RNAcentral.